CCUACGGGUGGCAGCAGUGAGGAAUAUUGGUCAAUGGGCUUACGCCUGAACCAGCCAAGUCGCGUGAGGGAAGACUGCCCUAUGGGUUGUAAACCUCUUUUGUCAGGGAGCAACGCCGGCUACGUGUAGCCGGACUGAGAGUACCUGAAGAAAAAGCAUCGGCUAACUCCGUGCCAGCAGCCGCGGUAAUACGUAGGAGGCAAGCGUUAUCCGGAAUGACUGGGCGUAAAGGGUGCGUAGGUGGUUUGACAAGUUAGUAGCGCAACUCCGGAGCUCAACUUCGGAACUACUACUAAAACUGUUGGACUUGAGUGCAGGAGGGGCAGUCGGAAUUCCUAGUGUAGCGGUGGAAUGCGUAGAUAUUAGGAGGAACACCAGUGGCGAAGGCGGAUUGCUAGACUGUAACUGACACUGAGGCACGAAAGCGUGGGGAGCAAACAGGAUUAGAUACCCUGGUAGUC
This 461-nucleotide ribosomal RNA is filed under the name uncultured bacterium. RNAcentral's name for it is "partial 16S ribosomal RNA". It matches the Rfam family "Bacterial small subunit ribosomal RNA", at positions 338 to 795 of the family's 1533-position model. The record is from RNAcentral.